RNAcentral lists this unclassified non-coding RNA (336 nucleotides) under soil metagenome. RNAcentral describes it as "partial contains 5.8S ribosomal RNA, internal transcribed spacer 2, and large subunit ribosomal RNA". The stretch from base 1 to 120 matches the Rfam family "5.8S ribosomal RNA", at positions 35 to 154 of the family's 154-position model. The record is from RNAcentral.
GAUGAAGAACGUAGCGAAAUGCGAUACGUAAUGUGAAUUGCAGAUUUCAGUGAAUCAUCGAAUCUUUGAACGCACAUUGCGCCCGCCAGUAUUCUGGCGGGCAUGCCUGUUCGAGCGUCAUUUCAACCAUCAAGCCCCCGGCUUGUGUUGGGGACCUGCGGCUGCCGCAGGCCCUGAAAAGCAGUGGCGGGCUCGCUGUCACACCGAGCGUAGUAGCAUACAUCUCGCUCUGGGCGUGCUGCGGGUUCCGGCCGUUAAACCACCUUCAUAACCCAAGGUUGACCUCGGAUCAGGUAGGAAGACCCGCUGAACUUAAGCAUAUCAAUAAGCGGAGGA